CUCAGGGAAACUUGAGCUAAUACCGCAUAAUGCAGCGGCUCGACAUCGAGACAGUUGUUAAAGCGGGGGAGUUCGCAAGAACCUCGCGCCUGAAGAGAAGCCUGCGGCAGAUUAGCUAGUUGGUAAGGUAAUGGCUUACCAAGGCGACGAUCUGUAACCGGCCUGAGAGGGCGGUCGGUCACACUGACACUGACAUACGGGUCAG
This 205-nucleotide ribosomal RNA is filed under the name uncultured bacterium. RNAcentral describes it as "partial 16S ribosomal RNA". It matches the Rfam family "Bacterial small subunit ribosomal RNA", at positions 147 to 334 of the family's 1533-position model. The record is from RNAcentral.